This 212-nucleotide small nucleolar RNA is filed under the name Tetrapisispora phaffii CBS 4417. Lineage: Eukaryota; Fungi; Ascomycota; Saccharomycetes; Saccharomycetales; Saccharomycetaceae. The record is from RNAcentral.
GGUAUCUUACAAAACACCCUUCCGGAUUACCAAACUUAGACAUAAUGUGCAUCGAUAUGUCAUGUAAAGUGCAAAUGGCUGGAAGUAGAUCAAUUUCUCCUAGCAUUCCAAUGGAAUAUAAUCUAAAUUUAGAAAUGGAUUGAAUAUUUAUAAGUUUACUCUUAUGAGUGUUCGAUUUUCAUCUACUUUUGGUUCGCUCUAGGUGUACAGUU